This 2009-nucleotide long non-coding RNA is filed under the name Marmota monax (woodchuck). Lineage: Eukaryota; Metazoa; Chordata; Mammalia; Rodentia; Sciuridae. The record is from RNAcentral.
UUUAUGUGGUGCUGAGGAUUGAACCCAGUUCCUCACAAGUGCUAGGCGAGCGCUCUACCACUGAGCCACAACCCCAGCCCCUGACCCACCACUUUUGUCCACCUCCUUUGUUCUCUUGUCUUGGCCAUAAAUAAACUUAAAAAGACAUUAACUGGGACUGGGGUUGUGGCUCAGGGGUAGAGCAAUUGCCUAACAAGAGUGAGGCACUGGGUUUGAUCCUCAACAUCAUAUAAAAUUAAAUAAAGGGGUACUAUCCAUCUACAACUAAAAUGUUUGGGGAAAAAAAGACAUUAACUGAAGAGCUAAAUAGAAUUGUUCAUAAUGCCUUCACUUAAGCAAUUUGCCUUGGUAUCUGGUCUCCUUUACUCUGGGAAGCUUUUCCUAACCCUUCACACUCCAGCGUGGAUUAGGGGCUCCUCAUUUAUUUACCCUUACUUUAGUGCUGAAUAAUUCUGUAUUAUAUUUGCAAGUUUAAGGGUAUAUUUGCCUCAGUUAAUGUAAACUCCAUGUGGGCAUGGAUCAUGCACCACUCCUCACUAUUGUGUUUCUUGCAUGUGGCAUACAGUUGGUGCUUAAUAAAUACUUGUUGAGGAUGGGAAUGAGUGUAGUGAUGGAACACUUACCUAACAUAUGUGACGCCCUGGGUUCCGUCCUCAGUACCAUAAAUAAAUAAAUGAAUAAAUACGUGUUGAAGCUGAGCAUGGUAGUGCAUGCCUAUAAAACAGCUACUAUGGGGCUGGGGCUGUGGCUCAGUGGUAGAGCACUCGCCUACAGGUGCAAGGCACUGGGUUCGAUCCUCAGCACCAACUAAAUAAAGAUAUUGUGUCCAACUGCAACUAAAAAAAUGUUUAAAAAAAUAGCGAGGCUGAGGCAGGAGGAUUGCAAGUUUGAGAAUAAGCUAGGUAACUUAGUGAGAUUCUGUCUCAAAAUGAGAAAUAAAAAGCUGGGGAUGUGGCUCCGGUAGGAUUACCUGGGUCAAAUCCCCACUAUAGAGAAAGUUUUGUUGGAAGGACGUGUGAGUGAGUAUGAAGUGUACCUUCACCAGGCCCCUUUAGCCCUUGCUCUUCCUUUCCCACAGCUGUGUUCCACCUCCACCCUGUUGCUGUCUCCCAUUAAUAUGUACAUGUUGCUCAGUUAAACCCACUCUGCUUGCUACUGGCUAUGUGAAAAAUGGCUGAAUAGAGAGGAUUUCUUUUAGUGUUAUAUCAGAAAUGCCUGCAUAUUUUUCUUCAAGCCUUCAUUUUAACAAAGUAAACAUGAAGACUUUCUGUUACUUGAGUUAGUAUUACUCGAAUAUGGAAUUUCCCUGGUGAAGUGGUUCUUUGCUUGCAGCUAAUAUUGAAAUAGAAGCAGUUUUGUAAGGAUGACCAACUUUUAAGAGAAGAGGCUUUAGAAGGGGCUCUAGUUUGAGUGUUUUCGUUUGAUUGUAUUUUACGUUGGGAAGUCAUCACUUCUCAGAAGAUCAUGACAGUAGUGUGAAGUCCCAGUUUAGGAGGCACUAAAAAUUUUUCUUUUUUUGCUCCCUGCUCAGUUACUGUCAUCCUCCCAGCUAUAUUAAUUCUUAACACAUCUUCUGUGAUAAAUGUAGGUGCUCUGGAGCAGGGCACUCCAGAAUCCAUGUUUUGUUUACCUGCCUUAGUCUUUGGCCUCUACGUUGGCCUCUAUUUCUGUCAAUAUUUCCUUUUCCCUUUUUUACAUUCAUGUUGAAAAGCUGCUCUGGCAUUCAGAAGCUGGAAUUUAGAUUCUUUUUAAAAAUUUUUAUUUUGAUUUGUUAUAUAUGACAGCAGAAUGCAUUAUAAUUCACAUUACAUAUUUAGAGCACAAUUUUUCAUAUCUCUGGCUGUAUAUAAAGUAUAUUCACACCAUUCGUGUCUUCAUACAUGUACUUUGGAUAAUCAUGUCUCUUACAUUCCACCAUCAUUUCUAACCCCAUGCCCCUUCCCCUCCCCUCCUACCCCUUUGCCCUAUCUAGAGUUUGUCUAUUCCUCCCAUGCUCCUCCUUGAUGCUG